AGCUUUGCGCAGUGGCAUUAUCGUAGCUGAUGAGGAACAUCCGAGGCGCGAUUAUUGCUGAUUGAAAACUUAUACCAAUACCCCCCCAGGUGUCCUGAGAUAUGGUCAGCUGAGCAAUUUUUUUUUGGUCCUUUAUUGGA
Small nuclear RNA from Dendronephthya gigantea, 140 nucleotides. RefSeq annotates it as U4 spliceosomal RNA. The record is from RefSeq and is a predicted model, not a curated record. The transcript has a single exon. NCBI's taxonomy places the organism in Eukaryota, Metazoa, Cnidaria, Anthozoa, Malacalcyonacea, Nephtheidae.